GUCCCCAUCGUCUAGUGGUCAGGACGCCACCCUUUCAAGGUGGAAACGCGGGUUCAAUUCCCGCUGGGGAUGCCA
This 75-nucleotide transfer RNA is filed under the name Coriobacteriales bacterium. Its description in RNAcentral is "tRNA-Glu". It matches the Rfam family "tRNA". Rfam says of the family: Transfer RNA (tRNA) molecules are approximately 80 nucleotides in length. Their secondary structure includes four short double-helical elements and three loops (D, anti-codon, and T loops). Lineage: Bacteria; Bacillati; Actinomycetota; Coriobacteriia; Coriobacteriales. The record is from RNAcentral.